This 190-nucleotide ribosomal RNA is filed under the name Lysinibacillus fusiformis. RNAcentral describes it as "16S rRNA. Bacterial SSU". It matches the Rfam family "Bacterial small subunit ribosomal RNA", at positions 19 to 203 of the family's 1533-position model. Lineage: Bacteria; Bacillati; Bacillota; Bacilli; Caryophanales; Bacillaceae. The record is from RNAcentral.
CUGGCUCAGGACGAACGCUGGCGGCGUGCCUAAUACAUGCAAGUCGAGCGAACAGAGAAGGAGCUUGCUCCUUCGACGUUAGCGGCGGACGGGUGAGUAACACGUGGGCAACCUACCUUAUAGUUUGGGAUAACUCCGGGAAACCGGGGCUAAUACCGAAUAAUCUGUUUCACCUCAUGGUGAAACACUG